Long non-coding RNA from Conger conger (European conger), 1831 nucleotides. RefSeq lists it as uncharacterized. Lineage: Eukaryota; Metazoa; Chordata; Actinopteri; Anguilliformes; Congridae. The record is from RefSeq and is a predicted model, not a curated record. The transcript is spliced from 3 exons.
CGCUGUGUGGCCCAUUGGUGGGAGACAGACUUGCAUCACAUGGCCAUGGCCUCGUUACAGGAAGUCACAAGUGACACGACAGGAAGACGAGGAAGGGCCAGGCCUGGAAUGAGGGGGCUCAUGGGAAUGCCAGACUCGGUACCAGCAUGCAAUGUGCAAUGCAAAACUGCGACAAACAAUCAGACCAGAGGCAGCUGGAGGCAGAUUUUGCAUAGUAUUGGUGACACUAAAGGGACAGUUGACGUUGGAAGGAAAGGAGACUGGGAGAAUCGCCAGCCCCUGUAGCCGGUCUGCUCGGGCCUUUGUGCUAAGGUCUUCCAUUUCCAGGUAAAGCCUCCUCCCACUACACACAACGCUCACUUCUCCACGUGCCUCCCCUGCUGCCUAAAGGCUUAUGUAACACAGCAUAUAUGUACACUUCUUGUAGAUACAUGUCCGCACGUCCUGGUGUGCAGCCAUUGGUUCCUUUCUAUCUGCACCUCAGAGCAGGGGUGGGGGCAGGAAGGGGCGUGACGAGAGAUGGAGGAGGGCAUGAGAGCGAGGAUGAAAGUUAACUAGGCUGUGUCUAAAACGGCUUACUUGUAUAUAAAUUGAGAACACUGGAUGAGAAAGUUAAGCAGGCAAAAUCUUCUCAUAAUGUAGUGUACUUAAAAUCCCCAGAUAAUAGAUGUACUGUGCAGUCCGUAAGUAUUUGGACACAUUUUUGUGUGUGUUUUGGCUCUGUACUCCAGCACAUUGAAUUAAAUAAAAUGUAUGUAUAAAAAGAGCUGUAAAGGUUGUAAUGUAAGCACAGAGGAAAAACAAAAUUCCAAAUUCAUGCAGACCACCAUAUCCUCAAAAUAUGUGCUUUCUGCUAAACAUAAUGCCAGCUGUCCAACAUGCCCUCCACACUGUUUUCCAACAUACUAUUAAGUAUUGUAGGACCCUGCCUUUUCUGCUCUGAUUGAUUGGACUGUGAUUGGACUCUUUCUCUCUGCGGGACUGCCUGAAAAGUAUGGUUUACUUCCUGAAAUGUCGAAUACACUUUGCAAAACCCCUGGAAAUAUCUAUAUCAACUAAAGAUUUUACGUACACUACAUUUUAAAUACACUACAUUAAAUAUUGCCUUCUUUCUCAUCCAAUGUACUCAUGGUCUGUAUUUAGGAUCACUUCACUAAAAUAUAGACACUAAACAGUGCAGUAUGUUUAGUAAACAGUAUAUAUUUUGAAGACACAAUAGUUUGGACAAGGCCUUCAUUUAUGACCUGCUGGUCCUUUCUCCCAUGACUGGACUGCCAGUAUGCCAAAAACAGGAGGGUUGAGUUGAGGUGAAGUGCCAGUCAGAGGUCUGUGACCUUACACACCUGCAGAGGCUGGUUUCUCCAUUGGCAGUAUUGUGACCUGGACUGUUAGUGUUAACAGGUAAGGUACCGGUGUUCCAAGGUACAGCACAGUAUUAACACAGAAAUGCCUGUGUAUAAAUAUGUAUGUGCCACACAUCUACGUUCUCAAUAAAACUUCGUGGUGAAUUGGCAGGGGAACGCGAAAAGUCUUUCAAAUAGGUUUUUCUGACGUGACUAUAACAGGCCCCACCUACUGCAGUCAUUAAUUAGGCUACGUCAUUAAUCAUUUUCACACGUGAAAAAAAGCCAAGGACGGGCUCACUGGGUGGAAUGAGCUAUUUUUCCAAGCCUGCAGAUGUCACACAAAUCCCUCCCCGCAGAACAAACCCCAGGCUGAUGAGCGGCCUUCAGGACAAGCGUCAGGAGCCAAUAGGGACAAGAACCUGACGAGAGUGGAACACCCAUGCACAGCGGUGACCAUGGUGACAGUGGAACUCUGAGGUCUUUUA